CGUUUUAUUUCUACUCUUUGAUGCAGGUACUGAACCUUGUUAGCCUUUGGGGGUCUUUUAAGGAGCAAGUGUGCUACGACUAUGAUUAAAUGAUGCACAUCUUCCAUGUUCAAGGAUUUCCUUUGUAAUAAUGCUUAACAGACCUUUGUAUUAUAGGCUAGAGUUUGUAUAGGAUUUCAAUUAAUAAGGUUUGUAUGUUUUGUAGUCUUGAAAAUGAACAAAUAUCCAGGCCCUGUGGUUCUUUGACAAAAAGAAUUGGUGACUUAAUCCUUGUAUUCCAAAUGGUUUCAAAAUGCAUCAUAAUGCUACUCGCACGUCCAGUGACAUCUUCUAUGU
This 336-nucleotide long non-coding RNA is filed under the name Lathyrus oleraceus (garden pea). RNAcentral describes it as "Pisum sativum (pea) long non-coding RNA (PSAT_LNC026859)". The record is from RNAcentral. Lineage: Eukaryota; Viridiplantae; Streptophyta; Magnoliopsida; Fabales; Fabaceae.